This 1228-nucleotide long non-coding RNA is filed under the name Triticum aestivum (bread wheat). RNAcentral's name for it is "long non-coding RNA (TAES_LNC023847)". The record is from RNAcentral. Lineage: Eukaryota; Viridiplantae; Streptophyta; Magnoliopsida; Poales; Poaceae.
AACAGCUGCGAACAUUCAAGUAAAUCAAAGAAUAUACUCAUGUGUGCAUAUAGAUGAGUUCUCACCUACCCAUUUUGCUCUCGAUGGUGCUGCUGUAGUUCAGCUUGAGUGUGUUGAGAGAGAUUAGCUGAUGUUGUUGUCCUUGUUUUUUCUGAGAGAGAUUAGCUCGCCCCUCCUCCAUCGAUGGCCUACACUGGCCGCUAGAAUCCAUCCAGGUGCUGGCCGUCAUCCUCUAUCUUCAAUUACGGGUCAGCAACAGCGUUGCGAAUAGAAAGGUCAGCAUCUGGCCCUCUAGAAGUUCAGUUUGUUGAUUUUCUGAAGUUUUUAAAGUGGACUAUAACCGUGUAUAUUUUGCAGGGCCCGGUGAAGUUCAAUUUGUUUUGCUUUUUGAAGUUCUGUUUGUUGAUUUUCUGAAGUUUGGAUUGUUAAUUUUUUGAAGAGAAAGGUUGCUUCACUUGCACUCCUCUAUCUAGUCCUGUGUGGUGAUAUCCUCGACUCCUCCUCGGUUCGGAGCUAGCAACGGUUCUUCAACUUCCCUGCUGUGUUGUCGCGAUUGUUGGUAAGUAAUCCUUGUUCUACUAUUGCCUUGUAGUAAUGCUGGAUGGGUUCCCCCUUGUUUUGGAACCAUAAUAAUACAAGUUUGUCUCUGCGCUCCUGUUCCUGUGAUUACAAUAGUAGAGAAAAAUACCAAGGGUCAAAACCAAACCAGAGUGAACCAUACCAAUCAGAACAUGGUCAUUUGGAACCAACUCUAAUCGUUUGUUCAUCUAACUGCAGCAGAGACAAAUUUUAUACUUUGUUCAUCUAUGGUGCCAAGUUGAGCGGACACCGUAGCACUCGAGAAGAUGGGGAGAGGAUGUGUGGUGAAGAGAAAACAUAGGGUUUCAAAUUGUCCAUUGGUGGUUGCAUCUAAUCAUUUUACCAAAGUGUAACGGACAUGUGUAUGUAUGUACAGUAGCAUAUUUUACUUGAACCGAGUUAUUUUUUUUAAUGCACGAAGUUUGUGCAGCCAAAAAACAUGUAUUAAACUGGUUUUUGUGUAUUUUUCUAACCUUUUCUACACCUUUCUACGAGAUGUGCAAAUCCCAGGCCGUUCAUCUUUGCCACCAUUGGUCGUCCAAUGAUGCAGGCCCAUGUCGUUCACUGUUGUAUCGCCAACCUGCUGCUCUUGUGCUGAUGGACAUCAACUUGUUGUCUUGUAGUAAUGAAUCAGAUAGGUAAACUUCUA